RNAcentral lists this ribosomal RNA (484 nucleotides) under uncultured bacterium. RNAcentral's name for it is "partial 16S ribosomal RNA". It matches the Rfam family "Bacterial small subunit ribosomal RNA", at positions 30 to 507 of the family's 1533-position model. The record is from RNAcentral.
AUUGAACGCUGGCGGCAGGCCUAACACAUGCAAGUCGAGCGGAUGAAGGGAGCUUGCUCCUGGAUUCAGCGGCGGACGGGUGAGUAAUGCCUAGGAAUCUGCCUGGUAGUGGGGGAUAACGUCCGGAAACGGGCGCUAAUACCGCAUACGUCCUGAGGGAGAAAGUGGGGGAUCUUCGGACCUCACGCUAUCAGAUGAGCCUAGGUCGGAUUAGCUAGUUGGUGGGGUAAAGGCCUACCAAGGCGACGAUCCGUAACUGGUCUGAGAGGAUGAUCAGUCACACUGGAACUGAGACACGGUCCAGACUCCUACGGGAGGCAGCAGUGGGGAAUAUUGGACAAAGGGCGAAAGCCUGAUCCAGCCAUGCCGCGUGUGUGAAGUAGGUCUUCGGAUUGUAAAGCACUUUAAGUUGGGAGGAAGGGCAGUAAGUUAAUACCUUGCUGUUUUGACGUUACCAACAGAAUAAGCACCGGCUAACUUCGUG